ACAGGUGAUUAUUCAAAGGUUUGUGCUGACGUGUCAGACUGUACGGCCCAAAGAAGCCGGCUGGAGUGAUGGCUGAUGAUCUGCCGGCCGCAGCCGGCAGGUGAUCGAGCCAAUUAGUGUGCUGGGCCACUGGUGGGCGCUGUCAUCCAGCCAAACAUAUCCACGGUAAAAAUUGGACCCACGAUGGCCACAAUUUCAGAUUUCUCAUCCGGACUCUGAAUCCCAGUUGGGAGUUGGAACUGACGAUAAAGCUCCCUUUGCUGUAUUUCUUUUUCUGCGUGAAGUCUACUUGAUUAACCGAAUGUGUAUUACACUCGGAAAAACAAGUUAACAUUAAAUUCGUAUACAAAAGAUUUUUCUAAUGAUAUAUUUUUUUCCGCGAGUAAAUGAUUUUUUUGUGACAUAUAACUUAUAUUUUAUCAAUCAAAUACUAGGUGAUUGGUCUUAUAAAUCCAUAUGCGUGGGGACAUAUACUGUGGGGAUUAUUAAUGGAUUAAUACCACGUGGCAAGGAUGGUUGGCAAUCCCAAAUAAAUGGUGCCAUCGCUACUGCAGCUAUGUUUCGGUUGACCUGUGGAUCCAUGGGAUCAAUCAAAACUUGGUUAGUGUGUCACAUUAAUUAGACUGGCCCGCGAGACUCCCUUCGCAAUAGUAAUUUUUUUCGUUAGGAAACAGACAAGAUUUUUUAUUUUUUUUACCGAAAUCAAACAAGCUGGGUAGGACAUUGGCACAUGGAGCAUUUGCAAGGUAGCGAUCGACUACAACAGUUCACACAUGAUCGAUACUAGGCAUUAAUUGCACAUACACGAUUUCCGGCUUCUGGGGAUCAACAAUUUGUCUCAGCUCUCUCACACACUCAUGACAACAAAUCUUAAGACUAGACAUGAUGAUCAUACAUAAGCAUGAGACAAAGCAAAGCCAGCUCAUAAGUUGCCGGCCCCAACAAUAACCUGCAAAACAACAAUGUAGCCUGAGUUAGUACUGUCUCCAUUUCUAAAUACAGAAAGUAACAGACUUGUCCUAUGUCAAAUAUUUUUAUUUCGAUUAAUUUUAUAAAAAUAUCAAUAGUUAGAAUAUCAAAUAAGUAUAACAUAAAAAUAUAUAUCACGCUGAAUUUAAUAGAACUCAUUUAGAGCCGAAGGUGUUGGUAGAUUUUUUUUUUAUAAACUUGGUCAAAAUUUAAGAAGUUUGAUCUAGAAUCAAGAUAAGACUUAUUAAAUUUAGGAAUGGUGACACAAAAUUGAUACCGUUAGCGAUCAAUUUAAAAAUUGGUACCGUUUUGAUACCGUUAGAGAUCAAUCAGUUUAAAAGUCGUUGCAUACAUUCUCUGGUUGUGAUUUUUGAAAGAGGACAUUUUCAUCCAACAUGAACAUUCCCCAAAUAAAGUAUGGAAAAUAGGUCAAAGCAUAAGUAACAAGAUACCAAUCGGUGGUAACUCCAAAUUAAUCAAAUCACAUAGCCUAUUGCUAACCACCAUCGAUGUUGGCACAUAAAUAAAUCUUUAGGCAACGAAUCCCACGACUUCAUGCAGCCUGACUCCACAUGCCCUUUUUGCCCCGGAGUUGUAGCAUAGACCACGGGUGUUAAAGAAAAGGAUCCAUUUAACCCGUCAAACCGUCCUAGACAAACAUUUGUAUUGCUCCGAUAGCUAACGUCACAUGAAUAGAAGGAAGUUGAACUAGCUAGCAUCUUUCAAGCAGGGUUGAACACCCCCUAGCAUAGACUAGCACGGUAGCACCACAAGGUCAACAUCCAAGGAUUGACCAUUAUUUAUUUAUUGUGUUAUAAAAACGAUGUAAUUCCAUACUCACGCCAACAAGAAUAUGCA
Molecule: long non-coding RNA, 1827 nt
Filed under: Brachypodium distachyon (stiff brome)
Lineage: Eukaryota; Viridiplantae; Streptophyta; Magnoliopsida; Poales; Poaceae
Description: long non-coding RNA (BDIS_LNC005427)
Source: RNAcentral